GAAGACCGCGCUUUAGAAGCGCUCCAGUCCCUGCCGCUUCAAUCCAACGUCGCUUGCGAUUUCGGUGACGUUGCAGCUCUCUGUCCGCUACCAUCCAGCCCUGCAGCAAUGAAACGAUCUGGUGAUGAUCCUAGUGUCCUCCUUCGUCCACGCCAUGACGCCAUCCACUGCUGAAGCUGUUGCUACCAUCGCCUCAUUGGCAUCCUCAGCGAGUUCCUAGGCGACACCGGCAAGUUUCUGCUCAUGCCCGGUCAACUCCUGUCUCCAAUGAGAACUAGAUCUCGGCAAGUCCCCUCGGAAUGACAGCCCGCACCACUGCAUCUCCCGCCGGCCGAGCAACAACCAACAAUGCGUCUAGCACUUCCAGAGUAGCCCACCGUCGUUGUUCAGUUCAUCCCGGAAAGGCUCGGAUAGCAAAGGCUAUUUCUUCACCGCAACCAGCCUUUUUUUGCCCCUUGCUUACACUAAACCUCGUGGCUACGCUCCUUAACAUCUUGUCCUAUUAGUCUCAUAUGCCUCGGGCUAAUUUAGUCAAGGUGAGGAUGAGGUUUGUUUCAAUAAUUGAUGGUCCCAAUACGUGAUUUAAGUACAUGUUUUUUAGUCGAUGAAUGCUUAGGUCAAUAUGGUUUAAUUGUUUCCGUGCAUCAACAAAGACAUUCGGCUUUUGGACCUUUAGACACUAAGUUAUAAACCAAUCUUGCCUUGCAUGGAUUGCUAUGUUCGAGCAUGUUAUCAAUAUUGUGAUUAAUUCGUAUAUCAUUAUUGCACGUAACUAUAUUACGCAUGUAUAGAGUGCAUUAUAUUUAUAUUUAGAGUCUUAAAUAUUUAGUCUCAUUACAUAUAUAGGCUUGAGGACAUGUUAGCUUUGAAUCCUUAUAGAUUCAGGUUAUUGCAUAAUUUUCAUAAAAUAAAACAAAUAAAAAAUGUUAUUUAGUUUUCAUUUAGGUCACCUGUAGACCUAGGGUGAAUUAGUCUUAUGUCAUACAAGGGGCUUUCAGGCCUGAAAGCCCAUUAAGGAAAUGCUGGACCGUUUGGUUCAACUUUGAAGCCAGCUUUUAGCUUUCAAUUUGCCUUCAAAAUGUUGAAAGCCCAAACCUAGUAGGGACUAGCUUUGAGCUUUCAGCAUUCGGUGGAAUGCUGAAAUUAUUUUUUCCAUUCCAAAACUAUUCUCACUAAUUUUUCAUAUUUCCGAUUUUGCCCUAAUUUUUUUUUUUUUUUUUUUUUAUAAUUGAAAAAGGAGGCAACCCUUUCCUGGUCCGGCGAAGGGCUAUGGCUGUCGGCGAGCCAGAUCUGGCACCAAUGGCCAUCGACUGAGGUCGCCCUACUUCGGGCGACCUCCGACAAGGGUCGCGCGACCCAGCCGAGGACUGCCGGAGGUCGCCUGACCUCGGGCGACCCAGGUGACUGUCGCCCUACCUCGGGCGACCCAAGUGACCGUCGCUUAGGUCGAGCGGCCCUUGGGUCGAGCAACCCUCGCCGAGGGUUGCUCGAGGUCGGGCGACCUUCGGCGGCCCUUGACUGGGUCACGCAACCCUCGUCGAAGGUCCCUUGACCUCAGGCGACCUCAACCAACAACUGCUGGCGCCAUAUUUGGCUCGCCGGUGGUUGUAGCCUUCGCUGGACCGGCGAAGGAUUAGUUUAAUUUUCAAUAUAUGUAUAUAUAUAUUAUACCCAUCAAAGCCCUUUGCAAAAGUUUUUUUUUAACCAAACGCACAUUUAACUCAAAGUCCAUUUACAAAAUUCUUUUUAACAAACACAAUUACAUUUCUCCAAGUAGUUUUGGACUUUCAGCAUUUGCAUUGAACUCAAAGCCCAUUGCAAAUACUGAACCAAACGCAGCCUAAGUAUCAUAUAAAUAGUUUUAGUUAUCUUAGUGGCAUCAGUAAAAAAUGGAUAAUGACUAAGUGCAAAACAUUUUCAAAAUAAAGAGAAAAUGCACUGAAAUGGCACUAGAUAAAUCUAGCGUAACCAAGUCCUUGUACUCAUGAAUCUCUGGUUCACAGAAGUAAAUUGUACUCCCACAUUUUACUUGGGUGUCUAAUCAACCCAUAAUUGAUUAGUGGUGGCUCCAAUAGGUAAGUCUAAUCACAUGUCGUAUUGAGUACCAAGUUGCAAUUAGUAGGGCUCACAAGAUUCCGUGCUAAACGUUAAUGAUGGCCUCACAAGAGAAACCUUUGCUCCCAUUUAGUAAUCCAUUAGCUUUUCCCUCAGUGGUCCACUUAUGGGAAGGUUGCAACACAACUUACCUGAUUUUAUAUCUUCAAUCUCUUUUUGCGGGACUAGUGCUAUGGCCGAAGAGCAAUUUAGCCCCCAUCAUCCCACCAAAGUGGGAGACCAAAGACAGAACAAAACAGCAGUACGAGCCAAAGACUUCCGCGAAGAUUUCCAGAUCAGGUUUAUGCAACCUACCUGCUCAUAAUAUCAGGACAUACCCAAUGAAAGAGAAUAAUGAGGAAAAUGUAAGCAUGCUAUUACUUUCCUAUCUAUAUACUUUGAUUGCUAUGAUAUGUUCUAAUUUUGCAUGGACAGAAUGAGGGCAAGGUUAGCGAAAAGGGAAAAUGAAUAGAACAAAAAGAGAAAGCAUCAUUGGGCUGGCCACGGCAUUCAUACAAAUCUAAACUCUGGUAUCACAAUCCUAAGCAUAACAUUUGGCAUCAGAGAAAUGUUACUGACUGUACUACAUACGAUUCACUACGAAAUAUUAAUAUUAGUAGUGGCUUUUAUGCAUUUAGUUGUUUAUAUGCAUUGUAUUAAUGCCGGUCAUACGUGUGUAAUCAAUUAGCUGGGUUAUGUGAUGAACCUAUUAUUCAAUCAAGUUUUCUGUAACAGCUUGGAACUUCAAGCCAACAAGUGAUAUCAACACAUGGGGCAGAGUCAUCUCAACUGCACCAUGUGAGAGUGACGAGAACGACAGUAGAUAUGGCAUCUGGAACUGAAAGAAAGUGUAAAUGGAGCCGCUAGACGAGUCGCAUCAACUAGUGGCGGGUCAACUUCGUGAGUGGCAUCAAAGUAGCGUGGUUGUUAAGGAGCCCUUUCCAGAGGAUGGCCAACGUCGGAAAAGACAAAAGAUCAUUGCACAUUGUUUCAAAAACACUACAAGUGAGGAGAAUGGACCUACAGAAGCUGUUGACCUAUGCUGAGUUGUUUGCUUUGGUGGGUUUUGCUUUAUUGUGAGGACAUGUGAGGAGAUGGCAACUUUUAACGGCCUUUCUUGUCAGAAGCAAGUUUUUGGCAUCCUAAACAUGUAAGA
RNAcentral lists this long non-coding RNA (3250 nucleotides) under Eucalyptus grandis. Its description in RNAcentral is "long non-coding RNA (EGRA_LNC005083)". Lineage: Eukaryota; Viridiplantae; Streptophyta; Magnoliopsida; Myrtales; Myrtaceae. The record is from RNAcentral.